GAUGAACGCUGGCGGCGUGCUCAACACAUGCAACUCGAACGAGAGAAGAGCGGCUCUUGCACUAACCGGAUGGAGUCGCGGAAGGCUGCGUGACGCGUGGGUAACCUGCCUCCUACAGGGGACUAACCGUUGGAAACGGCUGCGAAAAUCGCAUACGCGCACAGUAUCGCAUGAUACAGUGUCAAAAACUCCGGUGAUAUGAGAUGGACCCGGGUCUGAUUAGCAUGUUGGCGAGGUAACGGCCCACCAAGGCAACGAUCAGUAGCAGGCCUGAGAGGGUGAACGGCCACAUUGGGACUGAGAGACGGCCCAAACUCCUACGGGAGGCAGCAGUGGGGAAUAGUGCACAAUGGGGGAAACCCUGAUGCAGCGACGCCGCGUGAGUGAUGAAGUAUUUCGGUAUGUAAAGCUCUAUCGGCAGGGAAGAUAAUGACGGUACCUGACUAAGAAGCACCGGCUAAAUACGUGCCAGCCGCCGCCGUAA
This 484-nucleotide ribosomal RNA is filed under the name uncultured bacterium. Its description in RNAcentral is "partial 16S ribosomal RNA". It matches the Rfam family "Bacterial small subunit ribosomal RNA", at positions 28 to 523 of the family's 1533-position model. The record is from RNAcentral.